Long non-coding RNA from Prunus dulcis (almond), 1069 nucleotides. RefSeq lists it as uncharacterized. NCBI's taxonomy places the organism in Eukaryota, Viridiplantae, Streptophyta, Magnoliopsida, Rosales, Rosaceae. The record is from RefSeq and is a predicted model, not a curated record. The transcript is spliced from 2 exons.
UCAACCAAGGGACGUGGGCCAACCUUGGUCUUGCAUUUGUACAAAGAUCUUUAUGGUCUGUUCCCACACCCACAACUCCAAAACUUCAACCAACUAUUCAUUUCAACAACUAUCCAACUAACUAUUCAUUUCUGGAAACUCAGCAACUAUCUUGCUAAAAGCUCAACUCAGGCCUUUGAAUUUCCACUUGACUUGGUUUGGAAUUAAAACCACUUGGCUUGGCUUGAAUUUGAUGACCACAUCCAAACACCAACACAGCCCAACCCUCAAAUCCCUAACUCCUGCAACUUUAGACUUUGAGAACUUGGUCACGUUUUGAAAAACAAUUGGUAUGGUUUCAGAUUGAUAGAAACCAUAGAUUCGCAUCGCCUAUUUGCUGAAAGCACAAAUAGAAUUGCUGAUCUGUAUUGCUUGAAUGAAGACACCCGAUCGGCCCGACUUUCCCAAAUGCCCACCACAGGCCCUGCUCAUUUCCGAGUCUAUUUUUUCAAGGGUGUGAUUUUGAUUCCUCCAUAUUAGUCCAAAUGGUUGAACUAAAAUGUUAGGCCCUCAUUGUUACUCUUUUAUUAAAUCUCAAUCUCUUUAAACCCAACAACAAAUUCAAGUGAGAGAAAUAUUGAAUAACGGAGGUGGAACUUACAGAGGCACGCAACAGAUCUGGGUAUGGGGCUUGGUCGAUGUCGAAAACCCAGGUAGGGUUGAGAGAUUUCGGGGCGAUCGGGAGGUGCGAUGGGCAAUCGGGAAAGGCAAUGGGUCUUCGUCGAUGAACAAGAACUUGCAGACGAAGGGGACGAACAAGAGAAGAGACUCAAUUCCAACUUUGACGAAGACGUUGGCCAAACGUUGGCCCAGAUCAACCCAGAGAGAGAGAGAAGAUGAGUUUUUUUUUUUUUUUUCCCAUUUAUUUUAUGUUUUAUGUGGAGUCCACGUCAAUUAAAAAAAGGAUCCCACAAAUGUCACGUAGGCAGAUAACGGAUUUUCUGAAGAUCUCGUUAACGGAGGGGACAAAUUGUAGGUUUUUCGCGACGUUGAGUAUGUACUCAUAAAUGUCCCCAAAAUCGGGUAUGCA